This 76-nucleotide small RNA is filed under the name Flavobacterium chilense. Its description in RNAcentral is "Flavo-1 RNA". It matches the Rfam family "Flavo-1 RNA". The record is from RNAcentral. Lineage: Bacteria; Pseudomonadati; Bacteroidota; Flavobacteriia; Flavobacteriales; Flavobacteriaceae.
UUUUAGCCUUGAUGGAAGCGGCAUCCUUUUGUGCCGGGGUUCGGCAUAAAAGAUAUAGCGGACAGCAGGAAUAGCU